This 274-nucleotide ribosomal RNA is filed under the name uncultured bacterium. RNAcentral's name for it is "partial 16S ribosomal RNA". It matches the Rfam family "Bacterial small subunit ribosomal RNA", at positions 523 to 796 of the family's 1533-position model. The record is from RNAcentral.
AUACGGAGGGGGUUAGCGUUGUUCGGAAUUACUGGGCGUAAAGCGCACGUAGGCGGAUUAAAAAGUUAGAGGUGAAAUCCCAGGGCUCAACCCUGGAACUGCCUUUAAAACUAGUAGUCUAGAGUUCGAGAGAGGUGAGUGGAAUUCCAAGUGUAGAGGUGAAAUUCGUAGAUAUUUGGAGGAACACCAGUGGCGAAGGCGGCUCACUGGCUCGAUACUGACGCUGAGGUGCGAAAGCGUGGGGAGCAAACAGGAUUAGAAACCCCGGUAGUCC